GUGCUAAAUUUGGCAGCACAUAGACUAAAACUGGAAGGGUACAGACAGGAUUAGCAUGGCUCCUGCGCAAGGGUGACACACAAAUUUGUUAAGCGCGCCAUAUUUUU
Molecule: small nuclear RNA, 107 nt
Organism: Acomys russatus (golden spiny mouse)
Lineage: Eukaryota; Metazoa; Chordata; Mammalia; Rodentia; Muridae
Source: RefSeq, a predicted model, not a curated record